UGCUCACCCAGGAGAUGUCUGGAGAGGGAGCAGAGGAACUGGGCGCUAGGAACAUCAGCAUUUAAAGGAGAAGCAAAGAGAAACCUACAAAGAAAUCUGAGGAACCCUGCAGAGAGGGAUGGACACCAAGGUUGGUUCCAGUUCCCUGCUACCACAAGCAACAGUGUGUUGAACUUCAUCAUGUCUCCACUUGUGGACUUGUAUGAGAAUUUCUAGGAGAUACAUGGUUGACCCUUGAACAAGGUGAGGUUUGGGGUGCUGAUC
This 264-nucleotide long non-coding RNA is filed under the name Homo sapiens (human). Its description in RNAcentral is "HSALNT0189081". Lineage: Eukaryota; Metazoa; Chordata; Mammalia; Primates; Hominidae. The record is from RNAcentral.